GACGAACCGAGCGAACGUUAUUCGGAAUCACUGGGCUUAAAGGGUGCGUAGGCGGGCUUGUGAGUCAGGGGUGAAAUCCCACGGCCCAACCGUGGAAGUGCCUCUGAUACUGCAAGUCUAGAGGGGGACAGGGGCAUGCGGAACUUCCGGUGGAGCGGUGAAAUGCGUAGAUAUCGGAAGGAACACCGGUGGCGAAAGCGGCGUGCUGGAUCCCUACUGACGCUGAGGCACGAAAGCCAGGGGAGCAAACGGG
Molecule: ribosomal RNA, 253 nt
Filed under: uncultured bacterium
Lineage: Bacteria
Description: partial 16S ribosomal RNA
Rfam family: Bacterial small subunit ribosomal RNA
Source: RNAcentral